UGAAAGAAAGCAGAGAACAAACACCACCAGCUCCCCUCACUGUCAUCAGCACUGAAGUACUUUGCUGAAGCAAAAUGUUAAGAAGCUGGGACUGGACAUUUAAAGAGUUUAAAGUUACUGAAUUUUCUGCCCAACCUGGUGUGGGAAAAGAUGCAGAAGAUAAUGCUGGUGUCUUACAUGUUCUCAAGAGCUCAAUAAGAGAUGGGAAAACUCCAGAAAUACAAAUCUAAAAUGGGUGGAGAGAUUCAGUGCCCAGCUCUGCACUACUGCCUUGGAGAUGCCUCCUUUUGGCUCUUGUGCCUUGUUCCAUGGGGAGCCUCUCAGCAGAGUGCGUUU
Zonotrichia albicollis (white-throated sparrow) is the source of this 336-nucleotide long non-coding RNA. RefSeq lists it as uncharacterized. The record is from RefSeq and is a predicted model, not a curated record. NCBI's taxonomy places the organism in Eukaryota, Metazoa, Chordata, Aves, Passeriformes, Passerellidae.